CGAAUGAGAAGCCACGAAAUUCUUGAGAAUGACGAUAUGCAACACUUGCUGAGACUCUUCAGCAUGGGAGGUGGCCAUGGCUCUGUCAAUGUGUCUGAAGACGGAUAUGGUUUCCCAUCUUUCAUGCCUUCACCAUCUCCUACUUUUGGUUAUGAUGAGGACCCCAAACGUUCUGGAAAAGCUGUUGUAGGUUGGCUGAAAAUUAAGGCUGCAAUGAGAUGGGGAUUCUUUGUGCGGAAGAAGGCAGCUGAGAGGCGGGCACAGAUUGUGGAACUGGAUGAUGAAUAAAAUCUUAGGGCUUUGAGGCUUAACCAUCGACCAUUUGAAGAACUAUUCACAAGGUCGCGGUGAUGCAGGCCCGUCUUUCAUGCCUUCACCACCUCCUACUUUUGGUUAUGAUGAGGACCCCAAACCUUCAGGAAAAGCUGUCGUGGGUUGGCUGAAAAUUAAGGCUGCAAUGAGAUGGGGAUUCUUUGUGCGGAAAAAGGCAGCUGAGAGGCGGGCACAGAUUGUGGAACUGGAUGAUGAAUAAAAUCUUAGGGCUUUGAGGCUUAACCAUCGACCAUUUGAAGAACUAUUCACAAGGUCGCGGUGAUGCAGGCCCUGAGUAAUUAGCUAUACAGGAGUUUAUUUCUGAGGGAUUAGUGAAUUCAAUUGUUCUUUCUCUUUGCGUCAAAUAGUUUUUCAUGUACAGAAGCCUGUACAGUAAUUUCACUUUUAUUGCUCUCAUUGUUAACUCCAUUUGUGCUCACUCUCUUUAUCUGUUUCAAAAUUGUAAUGUAUUAGUCUGCAGACCCAAAGGGAAAUAUACUUUCAAGAACUCAUUGCCCUCCUGUGUGUUGAAUUCUAUAGGAACUUUAAUGAUAAACAGGUUGCUGAUCGGCUUUUGCAAUUUGAGCCUUCAGAUAAAGC
Molecule: long non-coding RNA, 912 nt
Filed under: Nicotiana benthamiana
Lineage: Eukaryota; Viridiplantae; Streptophyta; Magnoliopsida; Solanales; Solanaceae
Description: long non-coding RNA (NBEN_LNC027789)
Source: RNAcentral